RNAcentral lists this ribosomal RNA (305 nucleotides) under uncultured bacterium. RNAcentral describes it as "bacterial SSU rRNA". It matches the Rfam family "Bacterial small subunit ribosomal RNA", at positions 333 to 638 of the family's 1533-position model. The record is from RNAcentral.
UGGCACCUACGGGGGGCAGCAGUGGGGAAUAUUGCACAAUGGGGGAAACCCUGAUGCAGCGACGCCGCGUGAGUGAAGAAGUAUUUCGGUACGUAAAGCUCUAUCAGCAGGGAAGAAAUAAAGUCCUUUGGACUUUGGACGGUACCUGACUAAGAAGCCCCGGCUAACUACGUGCCAGCAGCCGCGGUAAUACGUAGGGGGCAAGCGUUAUCCGGAUUUACUGGGUGUAAAGGGUGCGUAGGUGGCAGGGCAAGUCAGAUGUGAAAGCCCGGGGCUCAACCCCGGUACUGCAUUUGAACCUGUCC